RNAcentral lists this ribosomal RNA (494 nucleotides) under uncultured bacterium. RNAcentral describes it as "partial 16S ribosomal RNA". It matches the Rfam family "Bacterial small subunit ribosomal RNA", at positions 28 to 507 of the family's 1533-position model. The record is from RNAcentral.
GACGAACGCUGGCGGCGUGCUUAACACAUGCAAGUCGAACGGUGAAGCGCCUUCCUUUUUGGUGGGUGUGGAUGAGUGGCGAACGGGUGAGUAACACGUGAGUAACCUGCCCCCUUCUUCUGGAUAACCGCAUGAAAGUGUGGCUAAUACGGGAUAUUCUGGGUCUGUCGCAUGAUGGGUCUGGGAAAGAUAUUGUUUCGGUGGGGGAUGGGCUCGCGGCCUAUCAGCUUGUUGGUGGGGUGAUGGCCUACCAAGGCGGUGACGGGUAGCCGGCCUGAGAGGGUGGACGGUCACACUGGGACUGAGACACGGCCCAGACUCCUACGGGCGGCAGCAGUGGGGAAUAUUGCACAAUGGACGCAAGCCUGAUGCAGCGACGCCGCGUGAGGGAUGGAGGCCUUCGGGUUGUGAACCUCUUUCGCCAGUGAAGCAGGCCUGCCUCGUUUGUGGGUGGGUUGACGGUAGCUGGAGAAGAAGCGCCGGCUAACUACGUG